GUCUGUCUGUGUGUGUGUGUAUUUAGCAGUCUGUCUGUAUUUAGCAGACUGCUGAAUACACACACAGACUGACUGCUAAAUACACACACAGACUG
Non-coding RNA from Pelobates cultripes (western spadefoot toad), 95 nucleotides. The record is from the annotation of a GenBank genome assembly. Lineage: Eukaryota; Metazoa; Chordata; Amphibia; Anura; Pelobatidae.